AGUUUGCUUGAAAUACAUACCUAAAACUUUGCUGAAAACUGAAGUCCACCAUGAAGGUUGUGCCACUUGCUCUCCUUCUCCUUGUAGUAAUUGCAGGAGUAAUCUGUGAAAAAGUUGAAAUUGAAGGCCAAGGGUCACCAUGCAGAGUAACUGGUAUUCCAAGAAGAGGUACUUGUCGAAAAGCCUGCCUUUCAAAUGAGUUCCUCAAGGGUCGAUGUAUUCUUUUUAAUUUGAGGUGCUGCAUUCCAAGACGUGCUUGGUUCAUGGAGUGAAAAUACAAGUGAAAAAAGAAAUGGCUGAACUUUUUUGUCUACAGAGUAUACACUCUAUAUCCUAUCAACAUUUAUUGUAUUUUCUUUAGCAAUUCAUAUUUACUUUUUCUCUUUUAUAAAUCAUUUCUCACUAAAGCAAAGACUCAGUGUGUGUAAUUAAGUCACUUUGCAUUAUUAUGUAUUUAUAACAUAGAAUAUAUAUCUAAUAUCCAUAUGUUGAUUAGUUUAAACCUAGUCCAUUCCAUGUUAGUAAGACAAAUGACAACUUCUAAGUGAAAUCAGUUUUACUUUCUAUUCAUAGAAUAUUAUGCCAAUAAAAAGCACAAUCAGCAUUUCA
Long non-coding RNA from Protopterus annectens (West African lungfish), 609 nucleotides. RefSeq lists it as uncharacterized. The transcript has 3 exons. The record is from RefSeq and is a predicted model, not a curated record. NCBI's taxonomy places the organism in Eukaryota, Metazoa, Chordata, Ceratodontiformes, Protopteridae.